Long non-coding RNA from Helianthus annuus (common sunflower), 1132 nucleotides. RefSeq lists it as uncharacterized. The transcript has 3 exons. Lineage: Eukaryota; Viridiplantae; Streptophyta; Magnoliopsida; Asterales; Asteraceae. The record is from RefSeq and is a predicted model, not a curated record.
CAUCAUCGACGACAAUACUAUCUUCUUCAAUCUUCAUUCACCAGAAUUCAAUACAUUCUAAUCGACGGUAAUCUCUUUGCUCUGACGUUCAUUUCAUAUACUUUAUCAGCAUUUUACUUAAUCUGUAUUUGUUCAUCUUCUUAUGUUAAAUUUGAUGUCAAAAUCGUCGAUCCCUAAUGUCAAAAUCUCUCAAACAUGAAAACAACUGGAUUCCUUCUGGCCGUCACGCACCAUCAGUCCCUCCGGCAAAUUUUCAGGUAAGGUCAUUUGUUAGCAUAUAACACCAAUUUCUUUAGUUUUGAGUUCAAUUAUGUUGUGGAAGGUCGCCGGUCUUUGGAUAUGUGUCGUCUUCGUCUGCUUCCCCCAUUUAUCUGUGUUUUAGGGUUUUUGUGAAUGGUGGCGGCGAUGGUCUCCGAUGUUUUCAGGUUAAGCGAUUUUAGGGCUUUUAUGCUUAACUAUUUUGUAACGUUCCUAAGUUGGUUUCUAUGUUUUUAGGGUUUUUAUUUGUUAGGGUUUUAGUCUAGGAUUUGAUGAUCGAUUCAUGUAUGCUUCGAUUUGAUAGGGUUUUAAUCCACGAUUUGAUAUUGUUUUAUUAUUUCUGCUUUGAUUUUCAUAUUUUUUGUUUUUUGUAGUUUGAUUCGUUUGUAGAAAAAAAACCCGAUUUAGGUCAUAGGUUUUAUAUUUUCACUAAUUGGUGUUGAUUCUAUUAUAGAAUAGUCUGAUUAUAGGUGUUUUGGUGCUAGACAACCGGUGGUUUUGGUGCUAGAAAACCGAUGGUGAUUUGUGUUCUUGAUGGAAUGGUGUGGGUGGGUCUGGGGAGAAGUUCGCUGGUGGAUUAUCGAACUCUUCACAUCAGCGGUUUAACAUUCUAUGCAGUGCAGAUAAAGACGGUGUUAUAAGCUUCAGUAUAUUUGGCAUAUUCCCGAUUGGGAAAAAUUGAUAUUCAUGUUGACUGCAAAUUGCUGAAUGCUUCAAUUUGUAAGGUAACAGUGUCGUGGAGGUUAAAAAGAUUCUUCACUUUGGUUCCUUAAACAAUGUCAUGAUGUCUGUGUUUGGAAGGUUGUAUGAUUUUGGUAAAAAUGGGGGUGAGGGGUUGGAAGAAGAAAAACAAGAGGCUGUUUGUUCUCAGAGG